UAGUCCACGCCGUAAACGAUGUCAACUAGCCGUUGGGAGUUGUCCCAGUGCUGUAGCAAACGCGUUAAGUUAUCCACCUGAGGAGUACGGUCGCAAGAUUAAAACUCAAAGGAAUAGACGGGACCCACACAAGCAGUGGAUCACGUGGUUUAAUUCGACAAUAAACGGGGAAUCUUACCCAGACUUGACAUCCUGAGAAUCUUUUAGAAAUAAAAGAGUGCCUUUACGGGAACUCAGUGACAGGUGCUGCAUGGUUGUCGUCAGCUCGUGCCUUGAGGUGUUCGGUUAAGUCCGUUAACGAGCGCAACCCAUGUCGUUAGUUAUUAUGUCUAACGAGACUGCCUUGGUUAACAAGGAGGAAGGUGUGGAUGACGUCAAAUCAGCAUGGCUUUUACGUCUGGGGCUACACACAUGAUACAAUGGUACGUACAAAGAGCAGCGAUAUCGCGAGAUGGAGCUAAUCUUCAAAACGUAUCUCAGUCCGGAUUGGAGUCUGAAACUCGACUCC
RNAcentral lists this ribosomal RNA (508 nucleotides) under uncultured bacterium. RNAcentral's name for it is "bacterial SSU rRNA". It matches the Rfam family "Bacterial small subunit ribosomal RNA", at positions 791 to 1319 of the family's 1533-position model. The record is from RNAcentral.